GUACUUGCUUCAGCAGCACAGAUACUAAAAUUGGAAUGAUACAGAGAUUAGCAUGUCCCCUGUGCAGUGAUGACAUGCAAACCCAUAAAAUAUUCCAUAUUUUA
This is a small nuclear RNA of Meriones unguiculatus (Mongolian gerbil), 104 nucleotides long. The record is from Ensembl. Lineage: Eukaryota; Metazoa; Chordata; Mammalia; Rodentia; Muridae.